This 1282-nucleotide long non-coding RNA is filed under the name Equus caballus (horse). RNAcentral's name for it is "lncRNA (ENSECAG00000033419.2)". Lineage: Eukaryota; Metazoa; Chordata; Mammalia; Perissodactyla; Equidae. The record is from RNAcentral.
GAUGACCAGGUGGGUUCAAAAUCCUGGGGCUGGAGAGAGGCCACGGCGCUGGGAGUGAGUGACACUGGCCCCCGCUCUGCCACUAAAAGGCGGUGUGGUGUGAACGUUUACCUUUCUGGGCCUGCUUCUGUGUCCGUAGGAUGGGGAGAGAAAUCGCUGUUAAAUUCUCUGAGCUGCUAAAAGCGCUUUUUCAGUGCAUGCUAGCAAUGUGUGUAAAAAUGACUCCAUUGUUGGCUUUUUGUGGACAUGCUCCUAAUGAACUGAAUUCAAGGUCUCCAUUGCUAUACAUACCAGGCACUUUCCUCCCUUUCAGAGAUGGAAUUUACCUCUGUUCAUCCUACGAGAAUCUGUCAAGGCAACAGAACAGGCCACUAACAUGGCAAACGAGCCCGGACCGGCUUCUCACCUCUUGCCCCGACAGGAGCAAUCUGCAGAUUCCUAGGUGUGCAGAGCAGGGCGAGGCCCGAGUCUCACCCGGCUCCCUGGCCCAGCAUCUAGGAUGCAGCAGGGUGAAAGUCAAUAAAUGUCUGAUGAAAUGCAGUGUCCCCUGUUCUCCCACAUGUACUCCUCUAGCGCAAGGUGUUUCCUCAACAGCAGGACUUAAGAUAUUCUCUAGUCCUCACAUCCAGGGAAGGGGCCUUCGGUUAAUUUACAUCACGCUUCCUUUCGGGCUUGAUUUUCACAUAUACAUAAACAUGCAAAUAUUCAAAUCAUUAACAUACUCUCAUUGUAAAAACACAGACAUAAAGAGAAACUCCCCCUUUCCUUGCCUCACUAUUCUAGUCUCCUCCUCAGAGGCAGCACUGUUAAGAGUUUGGUGUGUUUUGACUUUUUCCUGUGUUUAUAUACAUAUAUGCUUGUGUAGAAAUACAUAUUUUGUUUUGUUUUUAUUAAUAUAAACGGGACCUUACUAUUAACCGUUUUGAAGCUUGCUUUCUACACUUAAGAACACUGAACUCUUUCCAUGUCAGUGUACCUUCAUCCUGCUCAUUCUUUUUAACUGUCGCAGACAUUCCCUGAUACAGAUGAGUCAUAGUUUAAACUUUACCUGUUGAUGAACAUUUUUUUUCUAGUUUUCAUCCUAAUUUUUUUUAAAGCCAGGUUUAUUGAGGUAUACUUUAUCUGCACUAAAAUUUACUUUUUAAAAUGUGCAGAUUAAGUUUUAACACAGUCAUGUGACCACCACCACAACCAGGAUUUCCACUAUGCCAGAAAGUUCCCUUGUGUUUCUUUUCGGUCAACCCUUCCAUGAACCCUCAGCCCCAGCAAACAUGGGUCUGUG